RNAcentral lists this ribosomal RNA (266 nucleotides) under uncultured bacterium. RNAcentral's name for it is "partial 16S ribosomal RNA". It matches the Rfam family "Bacterial small subunit ribosomal RNA", at positions 333 to 613 of the family's 1533-position model. The record is from RNAcentral.
GACGCCCUACGGGACGCAGCAGUGGGGAAUAUUGGGCAAUGGGCGCAAGCCUGACCCAGCAACGCCGCGUGAAGGAAGAAGGCUUUCGGGUUGUAAACUUCUUUUAUUGAGGACGAAACAAAUGCCGGUACUCAAUGAAUAAGCCACGGCUAACUACGUGCCAGCAGCCGCGGUAAUACGUAGGCGGCAAGCGUUAUCCGGAUUUACUGGGUGUAAAGGGCGUGUAGGCGGGACUGCAAGUCAGAUGUGAAACCCAUGUGCUCAAC